RNAcentral lists this unclassified non-coding RNA (400 nucleotides) under soil metagenome. RNAcentral describes it as "partial contains 5.8S ribosomal RNA, internal transcribed spacer 2, and large subunit ribosomal RNA". The stretch from base 1 to 122 matches the Rfam family "5.8S ribosomal RNA", at positions 35 to 154 of the family's 154-position model. The record is from RNAcentral.
GAUGAAGAACGUAGCGAAAUGCGAUACUUGGUGUGAAUUGCAGAAUCCCGUGAACCAUCGAGUCUUUGAACGCAAGUUGCGCCUCAAGCCAUUAGGUUGAGGGCACGUCUGCCUGGGCGUCACAUAUCGUUGCCUGAUGCCAGUUUCCUCGUGAUGGGUGACUGUGCAGGGCGAAUGAUGGCUUCCCGUGAGCAUUGUUGCCUCAUGGUUGGUUGAAAAUUGAGUCCUUGGUAGGGAGCGCCGUGAUAGAUGGUUGUUGAGUGACGAACGAGACCCAAUCAUGUGAGACCCCUACCGAAUUUGGCCUUCAUGACCCACAUGCGUCUUUGGAACGCUCAUGACGAGACCUCAGGUCAGGCGGGGCUACCCGCUGAGUUUAAGCAUAUCAAUAAGCGGAGGA